This 500-nucleotide ribosomal RNA is filed under the name uncultured bacterium. RNAcentral describes it as "partial 16S ribosomal RNA". It matches the Rfam family "Bacterial small subunit ribosomal RNA", at positions 29 to 523 of the family's 1533-position model. The record is from RNAcentral.
AUUGAACGCUGGCGGCAUGCCUUACACAUGCAAGUCGAGCGGCAGCGCGGGGGCAACCCUGGCGGCGAGCGGCGAACGGGUGAGUAAUACAUCGGAACGUGUCCUGUCGUGGGGGAUAACCAGUCGAAAGAUUGGCUAAUACCGCAUGACCUCGUAAGAGAAAAGCGGGGGAUCGCAAGACCUCGCGCGAUUGGAGCGGCCGAUGUCGGAUUGGCUAGUUGGCGGGGUAAAAGCCCACCAAGGCGACGAUCCGUAGCUGGUUUGAGAGAACGACCAGCCACACUGGGACUGAGACACGGCCCAGACUCCUACGGGAGGCAGCAGUGGGGAAUUUUGGACAAUGGGGGCAACCCUGAUCCAGCCAUGCCGCGUGUGUGAAGAAGGCCUUCGGGUUGUAAAGCACUUUCGGCCGGAACGAAAUCGCGCGGGUGAACAUCCCGCGUGGAUGACGGUACCGGAAGAAGAAGCACCGGCUAACUACGUGCCAGCCGCCGCCGUAA